GACGAACCGUGCAAACGUUGUUCGGAAUCACUGGGCUUAAAGGGAGCGUAGGCGGUCGCGUAAGUCUGUGGUGAAAUCCUCCGGCUCAACCGGAGAACUGCCAUGGAAACUAUGCGUCUAGAAUGAGGUAGGGGCAUGCGGAACGGAUGGUGGAGCGGUGAAAUGCGUUGAUAUCAUUCGGAACUCCGGUGGCGAAGGCGGCAUGCUGGACCUCUAUUGACGCUGAGGCUCGAAAGCCAGGGGAGCAAACGGG
This 253-nucleotide ribosomal RNA is filed under the name uncultured bacterium. RNAcentral describes it as "partial 16S ribosomal RNA". It matches the Rfam family "Bacterial small subunit ribosomal RNA", at positions 524 to 776 of the family's 1533-position model. The record is from RNAcentral.